CCAUGCUAUUGCGUGCAUAUGGCACAACAAAAAAGAACCUGAAGAUUUUGUUUCCUCGUAUUAUAGGAAGAGUACUUUCAUGGCUACUUAUUCUCACAUCAUUUUGCCAACAAAUGGUCCCCAACUAUGGCGUAUAUCAAAAACAGCGGCAAUUAAUCCACCUGUUGUGAGAAGAGCUAUCGGCCGCCCAAAAAAAUAGAAACAAGGCUAAUGAUGAGAAAAAAAAUCCACCCCAUGUAUUGCCCAGUGAUCUAAAAACAAAGACAUGUAAAAAAUGUCAAGUGAUGGGUCAUAACAAGAAGACGUGUGGAGGAAAGCGUGCUGCUGAUAGAUUGAUUCCAAAAGGCGGAAAUAAGCAAAAGAAGGCAAACAAGUCUGGUACACAAGGAACAAAUUGUGCUGGUGGGUCUGGAGCUGGUGGGUCUAGUGCUGGUGGUUUUGGUGUACAAGGAAGUGAUGGGGCUGCAACUAUGUUAACUCAAGGAUCACAACCUCCUCCAACCCAAGAUUCUCAAGCAUAAUAUGUUUAUUAAUUAUGCUUGUUUUUUGAUAACGCAAUUAGACAUAUUAUUGAAAUAUUCAGUUGUUAUGCUUGUUUUGUGACUCAAAUGUUGGAUGUAUUAUUGCAUCAACACUCUAUCAUUGUGGCUCUUUUUGCCAUGUUUUUU
Molecule: long non-coding RNA, 668 nt
Organism: Trifolium pratense (red clover)
Lineage: Eukaryota; Viridiplantae; Streptophyta; Magnoliopsida; Fabales; Fabaceae
Exons: 3
Source: RefSeq, a predicted model, not a curated record